CCUCUCAUCCAAGCCUCCAUUUUGUUUGCAGUCUCUCUGCUCCCUUGGUCUUAUCAUGCAUGUAUACAUCUAUGUCAGUUUGUCUUCUGUGGUCCUGCCAUGUUCCCUGUCCACAUUCCUGAGUUCUGCCUGCAUUUGGAGUUUCGUGUAUCUGAGUUCCUUCAUGCCUGCCAACCUGCACACAGAGACUUGCACAUACCUGUUUGGCUUAAGGACAGAUGAAGCAGAUGGUGGUACUGGCAAGAAAAUCUGCAAAUAAUACAGUUGCCUUCUCUACAGCUGUUUCGUCUUCAUGGAUGAUGUCAGUGAACCCUUGAUGCGACUGCAAAUUAAGAUGGAAGAUGUUCCCCUGACCGACUCUGUCAGGGACACUGGUAGCGUUCCUGAACGGACGGUGGUAGCGGUCCAUCACCAGGCUUAUGAAUGCACCAUCGUCAGGUUGGCUCACCAGCCGGCCGGAGAGAAUCUGGUCUGCGAAUGUAAAUGUCCAACCAUCUCCUCUCCCUCUGCAACUGCUGCCGGAUUGCUUUGGAGCAAGGCACUUGACCCCUUACUUACACUGUGUCUCUGUAACCGCUGGUGCAGCCUGCAGGACUGAUGGCAGUGGAGCUCCCUGGUGUGAAUGAAGCUGUACAGUGGGUCACUGCAAAAACAAUAACACACAAGGAGUAAAAACAUUGUCGUGUGUGUGCGUGUGUGUGUG
Hippoglossus stenolepis (Pacific halibut) is the source of this 703-nucleotide long non-coding RNA. RefSeq lists it as uncharacterized. The record is from RefSeq and is a predicted model, not a curated record. Lineage: Eukaryota; Metazoa; Chordata; Actinopteri; Pleuronectiformes; Pleuronectidae. The transcript is spliced from 3 exons.